This is a long non-coding RNA of Canis lupus familiaris (dog), 615 nucleotides long. RefSeq lists it as uncharacterized. Lineage: Eukaryota; Metazoa; Chordata; Mammalia; Carnivora; Canidae. The record is from RefSeq and is a predicted model, not a curated record. The transcript has 3 exons.
UUUUGCUUACCAGUUUUGGUUUCUAUCCCUCUCUCCUCCCCACGGCCCCUUGAACAUUCUAAUUUGAGCAAGAGAAAAAUAACUGCAGAGUAAAGAGACACUGGAGACCUGGGUCCUGGUUGGGCUAGUGGGUUUGCCAAGUUUUGAAGUGUGUGACUGAACUACGGAGUUAUCUAGUGGCAGAGCAUUCUAGAUGAGACGACAAAUAAUACCAGCUAACAUUUACUGAGAACUUCCUGUGCAUCAGGCAUUUAUUGAAGGUGCUUCACCCAGAUGUGUCCUGAUCCCUUCGGACCUGGUUACUGUGCCCCAUAAGUGAAAGCUUCCCUGGGUCAUCUGCAGAAGCCCUGGAAGUCCAAAGAGGUGAUGAGCACAGCUUUGCAAGUGAGACCGUCCUGGAAUUCCACCCACAGCACUGAGGAGCAAUGUGCACUCCCAGAGUCCUUCUGAGCCUCAAUUUUCUCAUCUGCAAAAUGGAAAAACAAACAAACAAACAAACAAAACCCCACCCACCCCUAUAGGACUGCAGUGAGGAUUACACGUGACGUAAACAUCCUGGCUAUCAUGACACCUUCAAAAUGAUUCAUAUUUUUAUAAAAAUGCUCUGGGCUUUAA